Molecule: ribosomal RNA, 1055 nt
Filed under: Plasmodium ovale (malaria parasite P. ovale)
Lineage: Eukaryota; Apicomplexa; Aconoidasida; Haemosporida; Plasmodiidae
Description: SSU rRNA
Rfam family: Eukaryotic small subunit ribosomal RNA
Source: RNAcentral
AUUGUUGCAGUUAAAACGCUCGUAGUUGAAUUUCAAAGAGUCAUGGCGUUUCUGAGGUGCUACGCUUGGUUGAUCGCCCAGCACUGACCAUCUAUGAUUUUAUUGUAGAACAGUGAGCCUGGGUGUUUAGCUCCAAGAAAGUUGUCUCCUUUACAAAGUGAUUUUUCUAAGGGUCUCUUGAGUACCAGUCCUUGGGAGGUUCUUUUUACCUUGAGUAAAUUAGAGUGUUUAAAGCAAACAGAUACAACAGUUUACUGUGUUUAAAUACUACAGCAUGGAAUAAUAAUAUCGAAUGAGCCGACGUACUUUUCGUUUCUUUGUUAUUUUGGCUUAGUUACGAUUAACAGGAAUAGUUGGGGGCAUUUGUAUUCAGAUGUUAGAGGUGAAAUUCUAAGAUUAUCUGGAGACGAACAAUUGCGAAAGCAUCUGUCUAACAUAUUUUCAUUAAUCAAGAACGAAAGUUAAGGGAGUGAAGACGAUCAGAUACCGUCGUAAUCUUAACCAUAAACUAUGCCAACUAUGUUUUGGAUGUAUGAGAAAAAGGUGGAAUACUUUGUUUUACGACAUUGUCAUUCCAUUUAUGCUUCAUUCAGUACCUUAGAGAAAUCAAAGUCUUUGGGUUCUGGGGCGAGUAUUCGCGCAAGCGAGAAAGUUAAAAGAAUUGACGGAAGGGCACCACCAGGCGUGGAGCUUGCGGCUUAAUUUGACUCAACACGGGAAAACUUACUAGUAUAAGACAAGAGUAGGAUUGACAGAUUAAUAGCUCUUUCUUGAUUUCUUGGAUGGUGAUGCAUGGCCGUUUUUAGUUCGUGAAUAUGAUUUGUCUGGUUAAUUCCGAUAACGAACGAGACCUUAACCUGCUAGUUAGCGGCCGGUAUGUCGCGAAUUUAUCAAAAUCUUAUCUCGUAGGCUGGAUUAUUUUUAGAAGAUAUGACGGAUAACCGAGUCGAGUGUCGUCCCCAUCACUGUUCUAUUAAUUCGCAGUCUGUCCUGGUUUUUUUUUGGUAAGUAUGUAUCCGCUUGAAUGUAAGCUUCUUAGAGGUACGAUGUGUGCU